This 336-nucleotide unclassified non-coding RNA is filed under the name soil metagenome. RNAcentral describes it as "partial contains 5.8S ribosomal RNA, internal transcribed spacer 2, and large subunit ribosomal RNA". The stretch from base 1 to 120 matches the Rfam family "5.8S ribosomal RNA", at positions 35 to 154 of the family's 154-position model. The record is from RNAcentral.
GAUGAAGAACGCAGCGAAAUGCGAUAAGUAAUGUGAAUUGCAGAAUUCAGUUAAUCAUCGAAUCUUUGAACGCACAUUGCGCCCGCCAGUAUUCUGGCGGGCAUGCCUGUUCGAGCGUCAUUUCAACCAUCAAGCCCCAGGCUUGUGUUGGGGACCUGCGGCUGCCGCAGGCCCUGAAAACCAGUGGCGGGCUCGCUGUCACACCGGGCGUAGUAGAUUUUAUCUCGCUCAGGGCGUGCUGCGGGUUCCGGCCGUUAAAAAGCCUUUUUUACCCAAGGUUGACCUCGGAUCAGGUAGGAAGACCCGCUGAACUUAAGCAUAUCAAUAAGCGGAGGA